GAUCCUGCUCAUCAAGGACUGCUUGAGAAAAAGGAAAAGAGCAUUUUACAUAUUUAAACAUCAUGAUGCAGUAGCUGAUGUGUUUCAUUCUCAAUUCAAUAAACAGGGACUUAUUCAUGAAGUGUUAAUUACCACAAUAUUAUGUGGCUUGUCUAGUGCCAAAGUGACUAAGUCUUGAAAAUUGACCAGAAGGAAAGAACGGCUAAAUUUCCACAAUAUUACGUUGUUUAAUUAGUAUUGUGAACUUUGCUUUAAUGUUCUUUUGCAGUUAUAUCAUUCUUUGCUGCUCUUGGAUUUUUGUUGUAUGGUGGAAGGUUGUUUUUCUUGUCGAGGCGCUUCCCCAUUGAAUCCACAGGCUGUCUAAAGAAACUUUAUGAGGAUGACAUAGAGAAGUUGGUAUCUAAGUUAGUAGACAAGGUUUGUGCUCCGGAGGAAGGUUCUUGCAUUGAUGCUACAAUCCUUCCCCUACAUGGUUGUUUGCCCCUUGAAU
Long non-coding RNA from Glycine soja, 490 nucleotides. RefSeq lists it as uncharacterized. The record is from RefSeq and is a predicted model, not a curated record. The transcript is spliced from 3 exons. NCBI's taxonomy places the organism in Eukaryota, Viridiplantae, Streptophyta, Magnoliopsida, Fabales, Fabaceae.